This 465-nucleotide ribosomal RNA is filed under the name uncultured Exiguobacterium sp. RNAcentral describes it as "bacterial SSU rRNA". It matches the Rfam family "Bacterial small subunit ribosomal RNA", at positions 338 to 795 of the family's 1533-position model. The record is from RNAcentral. Lineage: Bacteria; Bacillati; Bacillota; Bacilli; Caryophanales.
CCUACGGGAGGCAGCAGUAGGGAAUCUUCCACAAUGGACGAAAGUCUGAUGGAGCAACGCCGCGUGAGUGAUGAAGGUUUUCGGAUCGUAAAACUCUGUUGUAAGGGAAGAACAAGUAAGCGAGGUAAUGCCAGUCCCUUGACGGUACCUUGCGAGCAAGCCACGGCUAACUACGUGCCACCGGCCGCGGUAAUACGUAGGUGGCAUGCGUAGUCCGGAAUUAUUGGGCGUAAAGCGCGCGCAGGCGGCCUUAUAAGUCUGAUGUGAAAGGCCCCGGCUCAACCGGGGAGGGUCAUUGGAAACUGGAAGGCUUGAGUACAGAAGAGAAGAGUGGAAUUCCAUGUGUAGCGGUGAAAUGCGUAGAGAUGUGGAGGAACACCAGUGGCGAAGGCGACUCAUUGGUCUGUAACUGACGCUGAGGCGCGAAAGCGUGGGGAGCAAACAGGAUUAGAUACCCGAGUAGUC